This is a long non-coding RNA of Mandrillus leucophaeus (drill), 335 nucleotides long. RefSeq lists it as uncharacterized. The record is from RefSeq and is a predicted model, not a curated record. NCBI's taxonomy places the organism in Eukaryota, Metazoa, Chordata, Mammalia, Primates, Cercopithecidae. The transcript is spliced from 3 exons.
CCCCUGGCCUCAGACAAAAAGGAUGCAUUUCAAGCUCUUGCAAUAACUUGCAGAGCUCCAUCCCUGUGUCCUCAGAAAUGACCCUGAGUUUCAGCAGCUCAAAAAGACUCCAGUUGGAUAGUGAGAAGCCACUGCUUCCUUGCAAGAACCUUCCCAAAUUUCUCUAACCAUGUGAAGACAUGCUUGAUUCCCCUUCACCUUCACCAUGAUUUUCUAGGAGAGUAACAAAAAGAAGGAAGAUUCAGUAGGAAAGGAAAGCAAUGAAGAAGCCAAGAAAGAGACAAGGAACCCUGGAAAGAGAGUCAGCAAAGAGAGAAAUAGAAACAUUAAUUUCA